UUCUUAGCUUAGUGGCGAACGGGUGAGUAACGCGUGAGUAACCUGCCCUGGAGUGGGGGACAACAGUUGGAAACGACUGCUAAUACCGCAUAAGCCCACGAUCCGGCAUCGGAUUGAGGGAAAAGGAUUUAUUCGCUUCAGGAUGGACUCGCGUCCAAUUAGCUAGUUGGUGAGGUAACGGCCCACCAAGGCGACGAUUGGUAGCCGGACUGAGAGGUUGAACGGCCACAUUGGGACUGAGACACGGCCCAGACUCCUACGGGAGGCAGCAGUGGGGGAUAUUGCACAAUGGGGGAAACCCUGAUGCAGCGACGCCGCGUGGAGGAAGAAGGUUUUCGGAUUGUAAACUCCUGUCGUUAGGGACGAUAAUGACGGUACCUAACAAGAAAGCACCGGCUAACUACGUGCCAGCAGCCGCGGUAAAACGUAGGGUGCAAGCGUUGUCCGGAAUUACUGGGUGUAAAGGGAGCGCAGGCGGACCGGCAAGUUGGAAGUGAAAACUAUGGGCUCAACCCAUAAAUUGCUUUCAAAACUGCUGGCCUUGAGUAGUGCAGAGGUAGGUGGAAUUCCCGGUGUAGCGGUGGAAUGCGUAGAUAUCGGGAGGAACACCAGUGGCGAAGGCGACCUACUGGGCACCAACUGACGCUGAGGCUCGAAAGCAUGGGUAGCAAACAGGAUUAGAUACCCUGGUAGUCCAUGCCGUAAACGAUGAUUACU
Molecule: ribosomal RNA, 717 nt
Filed under: uncultured bacterium
Lineage: Bacteria
Description: bacterial SSU rRNA
Rfam family: Bacterial small subunit ribosomal RNA
Source: RNAcentral